RNAcentral lists this ribosomal RNA (257 nucleotides) under uncultured bacterium. RNAcentral's name for it is "partial 16S ribosomal RNA". It matches the Rfam family "Bacterial small subunit ribosomal RNA", at positions 524 to 777 of the family's 1533-position model. The record is from RNAcentral.
UACGAAGGGGGGCUAGCGUUGCUCGGAAUCACUGGGCGUAAAGGGCGCGUAGGCGGCGUUUUAAGUCGGGGGUGAAAGCCUGUGGCUCAACCACAGAAUGGCCCUUCGAUACUGGGACGCUUGAGUAUGGUGAGAGGUUGGUGGAACUGCGAGUGUAGAGGUGAAAUUCGUAGAUAUUCGCAAGAACACCGGUGGCGAAGGCGGCCAACUGGACCAUUACUGACGCUGAGGCGCGAAAGCGUGGGGAGCAAACAGGA